UGUAAGCGUAUACCAAAGUUGUUGCAGUUAAAACGCUCGUAGUCGGAAUUUGGCAGUUCCGGAAGUGUGCACGUCGUGUGCGUACUUUGCGGGGACUGCUUUUGUGGUCUUGCGUAGGAUGAGGCACUUUCAUUAGUGAACGUCCUCACGCAACCACUCUUUACUGUGAGAAAAUCAGAGUGCUCAAAGCAGGCAUUUGCCGUGAAUGUAUUAGCAUGGAAUAAUAGAAUAGGACUCGGUUCUAUUUUGUUGGUUUGUUGGGACUGAGUAAUGAUUAAGAGGGACAGUUGGGGGCAUUUGUAUUCCGGCGCUAGAGGUGAAAUUCUUAGAUUGCCGGAAGACAAACUGCUGCGAAAGCGUCUGCCAAGGAUGUUUUCAUUGA
This 382-nucleotide ribosomal RNA is filed under the name uncultured eukaryote. RNAcentral's name for it is "partial 18S ribosomal RNA". It matches the Rfam family "Eukaryotic small subunit ribosomal RNA", at positions 592 to 976 of the family's 1831-position model. The record is from RNAcentral.